GAAUAGCCCUGAAUACUGUGCAUGGUGAAAUCGUUCGGUUGUUAGCAAAAGAGAGAGAGAGAAAAAAAAUGUGCGAACUCAAAGCAUGACCUACUAAAGGUGGAAUGCAAAAUAAAACAGCAUAUGUUCUUGCAAAACUACGUACACAGACGACCUUUCUAGGAACUCCCUACUGUGAUUACUUUCUUAAACAUGGUUCUGCAGGCCAGUGACUUUGGGAAAACGUGCCGGUAAUGCAGAAGUUCAGAACGUCAUCCCAUAGACGAAGAAACCCACAUCGAGCAUACACGUGUAGGGAAACCAGUGAUUAUUGAAUCAGAAAUAAUUCAGGGUCGUAGGUUAGCAGAUGAUGAUGACUUGGUCGUCCCUCUGAAUCAGCACCACGGUAAGAACAGUCAGUAACUGAAAUCAGAAGUUCAAUAGGAUUAGGACGCGAAGGAACAUAGGCACAAGAGAAACAAUACUCAAACACUGAAGUUCACUUGGCUUCUGC
This 493-nucleotide long non-coding RNA is filed under the name Zea mays. RNAcentral's name for it is "long non-coding RNA NONZMAT002014". The record is from RNAcentral. Lineage: Eukaryota; Viridiplantae; Streptophyta; Magnoliopsida; Poales; Poaceae.